RNAcentral lists this ribosomal RNA (253 nucleotides) under uncultured bacterium. RNAcentral describes it as "partial 16S ribosomal RNA". It matches the Rfam family "Bacterial small subunit ribosomal RNA", at positions 524 to 776 of the family's 1533-position model. The record is from RNAcentral.
UACGUAGGGUGCAAGCGUUGUCCGGAAUUAUUGGGCGUAAAGAGCUCGUAGGCGGCUUGUCGCGUCGACUGUGAAAACCCGCGGCUCAACUGCGGGCCUGCAGCCGAUACGGGCAGGCUAGAGUUCGGUAGGGGAGACUGGAAUUCCUGGUGUAGCGGUGAAAUGCGCAGAUAUCAGGAGGAACACCGGUGGCGAAGGCGGGUCUCUGAGCCGGUACUGACGCUGAGACGCGAAAGCGUGGGGAGCGAACAGG